CCCUUAGAUAUCCUGGGCCGCACGCGUAAUACACUGAUGCAAGCAAUAAGUUCACCUGAUCCGAAAGGAACUGGGUAAUCUUCAUAAACUGCAUCGUGCUUGGGAUAGAUCUUUGUAAUUGUGGAUCUUGAACGAGGAAUUCCUAGUAAGUAUGAGUCAUCAACUCAUGCUGACUACGUCCCUGCCCUUUGUACACACCGCCCGUCACUUCUACCGAUUCGAGUGGUUCGACGAAUGACUAGGAUUGAUACCAUUUGGUUGUCAAAAAUUUUUGUAAGUCAUAUCACUUAGAGGAAGGAUAAGGCGUAACA
Molecule: ribosomal RNA, 311 nt
Filed under: uncultured eukaryote
Lineage: Eukaryota
Description: partial 18S ribosomal RNA
Rfam family: Eukaryotic small subunit ribosomal RNA
Source: RNAcentral